Molecule: long non-coding RNA, 208 nt
Filed under: Homo sapiens (human)
Lineage: Eukaryota; Metazoa; Chordata; Mammalia; Primates; Hominidae
Description: non-protein coding lnc-PPP4R2-4:1
Source: RNAcentral
UUUCUAUAGUUAACACUUGAAAAAAUUGAGAAUAUUCAAUGAUAUCAACAUGCAAAUAUUUGUAGGAAAACAGCAACAGACCAUAUCUCAAGCACUUCAAAGGAUGUUUGGCAGGCAUGAUCUUCCCAGAAACUAAAGGCUUAGAGCCAACCUGGGCAAAACCUCCCAGUUUGAGACACAAACUUCUCUUGGCAAAUGCUCACAGCAA